Long non-coding RNA from Xenia sp. Carnegie-2017, 80 nucleotides. RefSeq lists it as uncharacterized. Lineage: Eukaryota; Metazoa; Cnidaria; Anthozoa; Malacalcyonacea; Xeniidae. The transcript has 3 exons. The record is from RefSeq and is a predicted model, not a curated record.
GUUUAUGUAUUGUAUAUUCUUCUAGUACUUGAGUUAACUUGUCAAGGUCAUCAUCGCUUGCGAUGGACGAACAACAACAU